UUGUACUUGCUAGUGACAGGAGCUUUUGGCUUUUUCCUGAAUAUUUUCCAUGUGUGGUGUGUUAAGUGAAGCUUCGAACACGAUUUGGUCGAACGAGCAUAGACGUUUUAUUGAUGUCACUGGUCUUAGUGGACUUUUUAACCGUUUGUAUACCAACACCGAUAUACCUUUCGCUGUACAGCAACUGCUUUAGAACUCAGCGAUCAAGCCACGUUGAAAGACCGGCGAUUUGCGAGAUAUUUCCUGAUGUUUGUGUGGUUCAAGUUGGCAUCGCUGUUUACUCCUACAGACACAGGAUGAAAUGACUAAUUAGCCGUGACCGCGCGAGGAAUCUAUUGAAGUAUAGGCGACAGAAUCUCAUCAUCUUUAGCCUACUCGAGGCAGGAACAAAAACACGGAGAAAAUUCGCUAUUUGCUUAUUUAGUUGAAGGCAUAGUCAUUGUCUGGCAUUUCACGUGACCUGGAUUCCUGUAAUGGGUCGACGAAGCUAUAAACAGUGAGUUAGAGGCAAUCAACAAAUGGCAACAGGAACGACGUCAAGUCGUUCACGUGGAGAAGCAGCUGAGAAGAGUGAAGUCGGGACAGGGCGUGGCUAAAGGGUGGGGCACAGGGUAUGGGUCCGGGAGCAUAGGACAGGAACGAUAAGGAAGGCCAGAGGACUUGGACGAGCUUGCAACUAGAUAGGGAACGACAUUUAACCAACGCUGGCCAUCCAGACAGACGAAAACGACGCGUUGAAAGAAGCACUCAGUUCCACACUGAAGGCCCGAAGAAGAGGACUUGAAAUUUUAUUAAGAGAUGAUGAUCAAACAAAAAAGAUUUUCUUGCAGAAGCUGCGGAGAUAAUUUAGACAGAACUCUGUCCCCAGCUAAUGCAUGCCGUUUGGAAUUUGGGCUUGAUACUACAACCCAAAUGAUAUCAUUAUGUACAUGAUUAAGCCUUCAAUCGAUCAUGUCUGUUUUGUUACGUUCUCUAUUUUGCGGCAAAAAUAGAGGAAAGAAAAUAUUUGCGAGAGACACUUGGAUACCUCCUAACCUUUCUUGCUUGUUCAUAGUUAAUUUAAAUGUUUAAGGUUUCGGUUCUUACCCGAGCGGCUUAAGCGAUAAUCGUU
This is a non-coding RNA of Pocillopora verrucosa, 1111 nucleotides long. The record is from RefSeq and is a predicted model, not a curated record. Lineage: Eukaryota; Metazoa; Cnidaria; Anthozoa; Scleractinia; Pocilloporidae.